GGGCCCGUGGUUCCAAUGGGAAGACGCAGCCCUUGCAAGGCUGAGAUUGCCGGUUCGAUUCCGGCCGGGUCCA
This 73-nucleotide transfer RNA is filed under the name Spirochaetota bacterium. RNAcentral's name for it is "Spirochaetes bacterium tRNA-Ala". It matches the Rfam family "tRNA". From Rfam's summary of the family: Transfer RNA (tRNA) molecules are approximately 80 nucleotides in length. Their secondary structure includes four short double-helical elements and three loops (D, anti-codon, and T loops). The record is from RNAcentral. Lineage: Bacteria; Pseudomonadati; Spirochaetota.